UACGUAGGUGGCGAGCGUUGUCCGGAUUUACUGGGCGUAAAGGGAGCGUAGGCGGACUUUUAAGUGAGAUGUGAAAUACCCGGGCUCAACUUGGGUGCUGCAUUUCAAACUGGAAGUCUAGAGUGCAGGAGAGGAGAAUGGAAUUCCUAGUGCAGCGGUGAAAUGCGUAGAGAUUAGGAAGAACACCAGUGGCGAAGGCGAUUCUCUGGACUGUAACUGACGCUGAGGCUCGAAAGCGUGGGGAGCAAACAGGAUUAGAUA
Molecule: ribosomal RNA, 261 nt
Filed under: uncultured prokaryote
Description: partial 16S ribosomal RNA
Rfam family: Bacterial small subunit ribosomal RNA
Source: RNAcentral